RNAcentral lists this ribosomal RNA (211 nucleotides) under uncultured Desulfovibrio sp. RNAcentral describes it as "partial 16S ribosomal RNA". It matches the Rfam family "Bacterial small subunit ribosomal RNA", at positions 1174 to 1382 of the family's 1533-position model. Lineage: Bacteria; Pseudomonadati; Thermodesulfobacteriota; Desulfovibrionia; Desulfovibrionales; Desulfovibrionaceae. The record is from RNAcentral.
UGGGGACGACGUCAAGUCAUCAUGGCCCUUACGCCUAGGGCUACACACGUACUACAAUGGCGCAUAACAAAGGGCAGCGAUACCGCGAGGUGGAGCCAACUCCCAAAAAGUGCGUCCCAGUCCGGAUUGCAGUCUGCAACUCGACUGCAUGAAGUUGGAAUCGCUAGUAAUUCGAGAUCAGCAUGCUCGGGUGAAUGCGUUCCCGGGCCUU